This 197-nucleotide ribosomal RNA is filed under the name uncultured bacterium. RNAcentral describes it as "partial 16S ribosomal RNA". It matches the Rfam family "Bacterial small subunit ribosomal RNA", at positions 328 to 539 of the family's 1533-position model. The record is from RNAcentral.
ACGCUCGACACCUACGGAGGCAGCAGUGGGGAAUAUUGCACAAUGGAGGAAACUCUGAUGCAGCGACGCCGCGUGAGGGAAGAAGGUCUUCGGAUUGUAAACCUCUGUUGUCAGGGACGAUGAUGACGGUACCUGACGAGGAAGCCACGGCUAACUACGUGCCAACAGCCGCGGUAAUCUGAGCGGGCUGGCAAGGC